RNAcentral lists this ribosomal RNA (253 nucleotides) under uncultured prokaryote. RNAcentral describes it as "partial 16S ribosomal RNA". It matches the Rfam family "Bacterial small subunit ribosomal RNA", at positions 524 to 776 of the family's 1533-position model. The record is from RNAcentral.
UACGUAGGGGGCGAGCGUUAUCCGGAAUUAUUGGGCGUAAAGCGCAUGUAGGCGGCCAUGUAAGUCGGUUGUGAAAUCCCGGGGCUCAACCCCGGAACUGCAUCCGAUACUGCAUGGCUUGAGGAAGGUAGAGGAGAGUGGAAUUCCCGGUGUAGCGGUGGAAUGCGCAGAUAUCGGGAGGAACACCAGCGGCGAAGGCGGCUCUCUGGGCCUCUCCUGACGCUGAGAUGCGAAAGUGUGGGUAGCGAACAGG